This 468-nucleotide ribosomal RNA is filed under the name uncultured bacterium. RNAcentral describes it as "partial 16S ribosomal RNA". It matches the Rfam family "Bacterial small subunit ribosomal RNA", at positions 28 to 507 of the family's 1533-position model. The record is from RNAcentral.
GAUGAACGCUGGCGGCGUGCCUAACACAUGCAAGUCGAACGGAAAGGCCCUGCUCUUGCGGGGCUCUCGUUUGGCGAACGGGUGAGUAACACGCGUGUAACCCGUCCCUGUCUUUGGGAUAACUCUAGGAAACUGGGGCUAAUACCGGAUAGGAUCUCUUGCUGCACGUGGGGGGAUGGAAAGUUUCGGCGGUUGGGGAUGGACUCGCUGCUUAUCAGCUUGUUUGUGGAGUAGUUGCUUACCAAGGCUUUGACGGGUAGCCGGCCUGAGAGGGUGACCGGCGACAUUGGGACUGAGAUACGGCGCAGACUCCUACGGGAGGCAGCAGUGGAGAAUAUUGCGCAGUGGGCGGAAGCCUGAUGCGGCAGCGCCGCGUGCGUAAUGACGGCCUUCGGGUGGUGAACCGCUUUCGCCUGUAACGAGGCGUGAGUGACGGUAAUGGGUAAAAAAGCACCGGCUAACUACGUG